UACGGAGGAUGCAAGCGUUAUCCGGAUUUAUUGGGUUUAAAGGGUGCGCAGGUGGCUUUGUAAGUCAGUGGUGAAAGUCUGCCGCUUAACGGUAGGACUGCCAUUGAUACUGCAGAGCUUGAGUUUGGAUGAGGCAGGCGGAAUGUGUAGUGUAGCGGUGAAAUGCAUAGAUAUUACACAGAACACCGAUUGCGAAGGCAGCUUGCUAAUCCACAACUGACACUGAGGCACGAAAGCGUGGGGAUCAAACAGG
Molecule: ribosomal RNA, 253 nt
Filed under: uncultured bacterium
Lineage: Bacteria
Description: partial 16S ribosomal RNA
Rfam family: Bacterial small subunit ribosomal RNA
Source: RNAcentral